UACGGGGGGAGCAAGCGUUGUUCGGAUUUAUUGGGCGUAAAGGGCGCGUAGGCGGCCAGCACAAGUCAGUUGUGAAAUCUCCGAGCUUAACUCGGAAAGGUCAACUGAUACUGUGCGGCUAGAGUGCGGAAGGGGCAACUGGAAUUCUUGGUGUAGCGGUGAAAUGCGUAGAUAUCGGGAGGAACACCAAUUGCGAAGGCAGCUCGCUGGGACGUUACUGACGCUGAGACGCGAAAGCGUGGGGAGCAAACAGG
Molecule: ribosomal RNA, 254 nt
Filed under: uncultured bacterium
Lineage: Bacteria
Description: partial 16S ribosomal RNA
Rfam family: Bacterial small subunit ribosomal RNA
Source: RNAcentral